CCUACGGGAGGCAGCAGUGGGGAAUAUUGGGCAAUGGACGCAAGUCUGACCCAGCAACGCCGCGUGAAGGCAGAAGGCUUUCGGGUUGUAAACUUCUUUUAAGGGGGAAGAGCAGAAGACGGUACCCCUUGAAUAAGCCACGGCUAACUACGUGCCAGCAGCCGCGGCAAUACGUAGGUGGCAAGCGUGGUCCGGAUUUACUGGGGGUAAAGGGCGUGCAGCCGGAGAGACAAGUCAGAUGUGAAAUCCACGGGCUCAACCCGUGAACUGCAUUUGAAACUGUUUCCCUUGAGUGUCGGAGAGGUAAUCGGAAUUCCUUGUGUAGCGGUGAAAUGCGUAGAUAUAAGGAAGAACACCAGUGGCGAAGGCGGAUUACUGGACGAUAACUGACGGUGAGGCGCGAAAGCGUGGGGAGCAAACAGGAUUAGAUACCCUAGUAGUC
Molecule: ribosomal RNA, 442 nt
Filed under: uncultured bacterium
Lineage: Bacteria
Description: partial 16S ribosomal RNA
Rfam family: Bacterial small subunit ribosomal RNA
Source: RNAcentral